UUAAGCUAUAAAGAGCACAGGGUGGAUGCCUAGGCACUGAGAGCCGAUGAAGGACGUGAUAAGCUGCGAAAAGCCACGGGGAGGAGCAAAUAUCCUUUGAGCCGUGGAUAUCCGAAUGGGGGAACCCACUUAAGUAAACCUUAAGUACUGACAAGCCAAUACAUAACUUGCCAGAGGGAACCCGGGGAACUGAAACAUCUAAGUACCCGGAGGAAGAGAAAGAAACAUCGAUUUCCUUAGUAGCGGCGAGCGAAAGGGAAAGAGCCCAAACCGAGAGAUUUAUCUUUCGGGGUUAGGACUGCAUAAUUGAUCUGCGAUUGAUAGGAGAAUGGUCUGGGAAGUCCAGCAGGAAAGCGUGAAAGCCGCGUAUCCGAAAUUGAAAGCAGCAAGGCAGUAUCCAGAGUACCACGAGACACGAGGAACCUUGUGGGAAUGAGCGGAGACCACUCCGUAAGGCUAAAUACUACUCAGUGACCGAUAGCGCAUAGUACUGUGAAGGAAAGGUGAAAAGGACCCCGGGAGGGGAGUGAAAGAGAACCUGAAACCCUGUGUUUACAAGCUGUCGGAGCACGAUAAGUGCGACGGCGUACUUUUUGUAGAACGGUCCGGCGAGUUAUGAUACGCGGUAAGGUUAAGGACUUAAGGUCCGGAGCCGAAGCGAAAGCGAGUGUUAAGAGCACGAGGAAUCACGUAUCAUAGACCCGAAACCGGGUGAUCUAUCCAUGUCCAGGAUGAAGCUGCCGUAAGAGGUAGUGGAGGUCCGAACACACAUCCGUUGAAAAGGGUGGUGAUGAGGUGUGGAUAGGGGAGAAAUUCCAAUCGAACCCGGAGAUAGCUGGUUCUCCUCGAAAUAGCUUUAGGGCUAGCCUUCAGUUAGUCUGCCGCAGGUAGAGCACUGAAUUUCCUAGGGGGCGUCAAAGCCUACCGAAGAAUAUCAAACUGCGAAUGGCGGACAGAUGAUGCUGGGGAGUCAGACUGCACGAGAUAAGUUGGGUGGUCAAAAGGGAAAGAGCCCAGACCUACAGCUAAGGUCCCAAAGUGCGUGUUAAGUGGAAAAGGAUGUGGGAUUUCGAAGACAACUAGGAUGUUGGCUCAGAAGCAGCCACACAUUAAAAGAGUGCGUAAUAGCUCACUAGUCGAGAGGUCCUGCGCCGAAAAUGUCCGGGGCUGAAACACGACACCGAAGCUUAGGAACAAAGAAACCAAGGUUUCUAUAUGUUGGUAGAGGAGCAUUGUUAGCGGAACGAAGCCAUACCGGAAGGAGUGGUGGACUGCUAAGAAGAGAGAAUGCCGGAAUGAGUAGCGAGAUUGAAGUGAGAAUCUUCAAGGCCGAAUAUCUAAGGUUUCCAGGGUAAAGCUGAUCUGCCCUGGGUAAGUCGGGGCCUAAGGCGAGGUCGAAAGACGUAGCCGAUGGACAACAGGUUGAAAUUCCUGUACUGCGAUAUAUCAGAAAUGUGGGGACACAGAAGGAAAGUGUGAGCCGGGAAAGGAAAGACCGGUGCAAGCACAGGAGGAGGGAUACAGGCAAAUCCGUAUCCCAAUCCAAUGGUGUUACGCGGAGCGAACAAAAGUAGCGAAGCACACAGACCAUCUGUCGAGAAAAGCCGCUAUUGUGUAUACCGUACCCGUACCGUAAACCGACACAGGUGGAUGAGGAGAGAAUCCUAAGGCCGGCGGGAGAAGCAUUGUUAAGGAACUCGGCAAAAUGACCCCGUAACUUCGGGAGAAGGGGUGCUCACGCAAGUGAGCCGCAGAGAACUGGCCCAAGCAACUGUUUAGCAAAAACACAGGUCUAUGCAAAACCGAAAGGUGAGGUAUAUGGGCUGACGCCUGCCCGGUGCUGGAAGGUUAAGAGGAGAUGUUAGAGCAAUCGAAGCAUUGAAUUUAAGCCCCAGUAAACGGCGGCCGUAACUAUAACGGUCCUAAGGUAGCGAAAUUCCUUGUCGGGUAAGUUCCGACCCGCACGAAAGGCGUAAUGAUUUGGGCACUGUCUCGACAA
This 1999-nucleotide ribosomal RNA is filed under the name metagenome. RNAcentral's name for it is "bacterial LSU rRNA". It matches the Rfam family "Bacterial large subunit ribosomal RNA", at positions 3 to 2027 of the family's 2925-position model. The record is from RNAcentral.